AGCCUCACUGUUGCAGCACAAGAAAAAGUAAGGGGUCUGACCUCAAGAUGCUGCUACAUUGAGAAAACAGGUUAAAACCCCUGGUUAAGAAGAAAAGAGAUUGAGGGGGGAAGGAUCACAUUAUCCUCUUCCUCCAUCUAAAGAUUUUUCAGCUUUCUUAAGGAGUGUAAGCAUACUUGGUGAAAUAGGAAAGGAAAACUUCUUUUCUCUGCUUCUCAUUGACACUGAGAGAUCAGAGACUGGCUUUGAUCCCCAAAGUCAUUGCAUUCCCCACUCUGUUCUCAGGACUAUGGAUGCCAGAAGAGGCAGAGACUGAAAGCCACCAUCCUUUCCUCCUCUCCCCCCUUCUGAUUGCUGUGGACAUGUGUGGAGCACAGAAUCUCCCUCCUCCUCAAAUGACUACCUAAGGGUCAAAAUCUGAGCUUCUCAAAGCUUAUUUGUAAGUAUUUACUUAUUUGUAAGUACCAGCAUUUCCACUGUCUUGCACAUCCUGACCAAUUUCAAAGUGCAGAAUCCAACUUACAAAACAAAACAACAGUCCUCCCCAUCACCUCAUUAAUUUGUUUGUUUUUUUUAAAGUUAAAAGCAUCUCUUUUAGGUGAAGUUUUCCAAUUAUUGUUUGCUACUUUCACAUUAAAAAAAAAAAACAACAACAAACCCUUCCAAACAUUUUAUAGAAUAAAACACAACUUAUCUGAACAACUCCAAAAAGUGACAAUGAAUGUUUCCUGGUUAAAGUUAGGAUUAGACUCAAAAUCUUACUUUGAGUCACUGGUAUGUUUCAUAUAUGGUUUCUCAUUUGUAAGGCAUGAGCUGUACUUAACCUAUAGUACCAAGUCAUUUACUACAGGUCCUUCUGAACAGGACUUUUCUAUUUAAAUAUUCUUUGCAGGCUGCUCUCUGAAGUGCCCUGGAUCUCAUUAGAAGUGUGGUAUUUUCCUCUUUCUCUAAAAUUAAAUUUGGUUUCCAAUUAAAAUCUGGCCCCUCUGACAGACACUUUGUUUCACUUUCACGUCCAGAUUUCUUACCAUGUUGACCCUACUAAAUGCCUCCAGUGACUUGUAAAAAUAAUAAGGAUUAUGUACAGCUGCACAGAUCAAAAAUUUCCCCAGCGUUCAAUUGCUAUCAUGAGCCUUUUAUCAAUCUGCUCUAGAGCAAAGAGGGAAACAAUUUUCCCACCCCA
RNAcentral lists this long non-coding RNA (1183 nucleotides) under Coturnix japonica (Japanese quail). RNAcentral describes it as "lncRNA (ENSCJPG00005013075.1)". Lineage: Eukaryota; Metazoa; Chordata; Aves; Galliformes; Phasianidae. The record is from RNAcentral.